This 366-nucleotide long non-coding RNA is filed under the name Nicotiana tabacum (common tobacco). RNAcentral describes it as "long non-coding RNA (NTAB_LNC007985)". The record is from RNAcentral. Lineage: Eukaryota; Viridiplantae; Streptophyta; Magnoliopsida; Solanales; Solanaceae.
CUUCCCCAUUGUUAGAUUAUAUUAAUAUUUUAUACAGGUUUCUAUGUCUGGUAAGUGUCUUGACCUGACCUCGUCACUACUCUACCGAGGUUAGACAUGCUACUUAUUGGGUACCGUUGUGGAGUACUCAUGCUACGCUUCUGUAUAUUUUUGUGCAGAUCCAGGUACUUCUGCCCGUGUCGGAUGCCAGUGAGUUGAUUCAGUCAUUUCGGAGACUUCAAGGUAUACCUGCUUGACGCUCACAUGCCUCAGAGUCGCCUUCUGAUAUUGUCUUUACUACUGUUUAUCUUCAUAUCAAAAUAAUAUUGUAUUUAGAGAUUCCUAGUGUACUUCAUUUGAGCAUAUGAUUGUGUACCUCCAGUUUUG